UUGGGAAUCUUGGACAAUGGGGGAAACCCUGAUCCAGCCAUGCCGCGUGAGUGAUGAAGGCCUUCGGGUUGUAAAGCUCUUUUACCCGGGAAGAUAAUGACUGUACCGGGAGAAUAAGCUCCGGCUAACUUCGUGCCAGCAGCCGCGGUAAUACGAAGGGGGCUAGCGUUGUUCGGAAUUACUGGGCGUAAAGCGCGCGCAGGUGGUUUCUCAAGUCAGUGGUGAAAGCCCGGAGCUCAACUCCGGAACUGCCAUUGAAACUGUGAAACUUGAGGACGAGAGAGGUGAGUGGAAUUCCCAGUGUAGAGGUGAAAUUCGUAGAUAUUGGGAAGAACACCGGUGGCGAAGGCGGCUCACUGGCUCGUAUCUGACACUCAAGCGCGACAGCGUGGGGAUCAAACAG
This 403-nucleotide ribosomal RNA is filed under the name uncultured bacterium. Its description in RNAcentral is "bacterial SSU rRNA". It matches the Rfam family "Bacterial small subunit ribosomal RNA", at positions 355 to 775 of the family's 1533-position model. The record is from RNAcentral.